UAGAGUUUGAUCCUGGCUCAGAUUGAACGCUGGCGGUAUGCUUUACACAUGCAAGUCGAACGGAUUAAGAAGCUUGCUUCUUAGUUAGUGGCGAACGGGUGAGUAAUAUAUCGGAACAUAUCCGGAAGUGGGGGAUAACGUAGCGAAAGUUACGCUAAUACCGCAUAUGCCCUGAGGGGGAAAGGGGGGGAUCGCAAGACCUCUCGCUUUCGGAGUGGCCGAUAUCGGAUUAGCUAGUAGGUGAGGUAAAGGCUCACCUAGGCGACGAUCCGUAGCUGGUCUGAGAGGACGACCCGCCACACUGGAACUGAGACACGGUCCAGACUCCUACGGGAGGCAGCAGUGGGGAAUUUUGGACAAUGGGCGAAAGCCUGAUCCAGCCAUACCGCGUGAGUGAAGAAGGCCUUCGGGUUGUAAAGCACUUUUGUCCGGGAAGAAAUCCCCUGCCCUAAUACGGCGGGGGGAUGACGGUACCGGAAGAAUAAGCACCGGCUAACUACGUGCCAGCAGCCGCGGUA
Molecule: ribosomal RNA, 518 nt
Filed under: uncultured Burkholderia sp.
Lineage: Bacteria; Pseudomonadati; Pseudomonadota; Betaproteobacteria; Burkholderiales; Burkholderiaceae
Description: bacterial SSU rRNA
Rfam family: Bacterial small subunit ribosomal RNA
Source: RNAcentral